CGGCCCACGACACCUUGCUUAGCCACACCCUCAAGGGAAUCCAGCAGUGAUAAACAUUAAGCUAUAAGUGAAAACUUGACUUAGUUAAAGCUAAGAAGGCCGGUAAAACUCGUGCCAGCCACCGCGGUUAUACGAGAGGCCUAAGUUGACAGACAGCGGCGUAAAGAGUGGUUAAGGAAAACACAAAACUAAAGCCGAACGCCUUCAGAACUGUCAUACGUUUUCGAAGGUAUGAAGCCCAACCACGAAAGUGGCUUUAUCCCCCCCCCCCUGAACCCACGAAAGCUAAGAAACAAACUGGGAUUAGAUACCCCACUAUG
This 320-nucleotide ribosomal RNA is filed under the name Seriola quinqueradiata (Japanese amberjack). RNAcentral's name for it is "partial 12S rRNA". It matches the Rfam family "Bacterial small subunit ribosomal RNA", at positions 301 to 794 of the family's 1533-position model. Lineage: Eukaryota; Metazoa; Chordata; Actinopteri; Carangiformes; Carangidae. The record is from RNAcentral.